RNAcentral lists this long non-coding RNA (620 nucleotides) under Marmota monax (woodchuck). Lineage: Eukaryota; Metazoa; Chordata; Mammalia; Rodentia; Sciuridae. The record is from RNAcentral.
CCCACAUCCGGUGCUCGCGAAUCUGGGAGCUUCCCCGAGAGCCGACUGUUCCCGACCCCCGGAGAGCGAACUGACACUAGAUUGCUUUCUUCGGGGCAACAGUUUCUCCAGUUUAGCGGACGCUCACUGCCUAAAGCAGACCAGGUGCCAGGACCUGAGUUGACCUACUCUCAUUCCUCUCCGGGGUCUUACUACUUUGGAGAUUUUCUCAAACUCCACAUUCAAAGCCAUUGACCUUAUUCCGGGAUCUUACACCCAUUCCCCACCCCAGUUACACUCCCUUCCCCAGCCCCGAGCAUCGGAGUCGAGAGCUACAGGGACACUUCCGUUCUCCUUGUAGGAUUGGUGGAACCGUAAUGAAGAACACCCCCUAAACUCCCAUAAUUGGUGCGGAUUCCUAUGGGGAAGGCCCAUAUUGUUGACAUCUUCCAGGCUUUGAUUCUGGACCUUGAGAAGGAGGUGGAACUAGUAAUAGAGAUGCUUUUUAGGGUAAAAGUGUGUAGGUAUUGGGGAAAGGGGAGGGAUCCGUGGAAAAGGAAUGAAAGUAGUUUAAAGCCCAUAUUUCAGUUCUUACUGUUCAUAUAGAGUCCAACUUGUGAGUUACUUAUUUACAACCUGUA